CACGUAGGAGGCGAGCGUUAUCCGGAUUUACUGGGCGUAAAGCGUGUGCAGGCGGUCUGGCAAGUUGGAUGUGAAAGCUCCUGGCUCAACUGGGAGAGGUCGUUCAAUACUGCCGGACUUGAGGAUGGUAGAGGGAGGUGGAAUUCCGAGUGUAGUGGUGAAAUGCGUAGAUAUUCGGAGGAACACCAGUGGCGAAAGCGGCCUCCUGGACCAUUUCUGACGCUCAUACACGAAAGCUAGGGGAGCAAACGGG
RNAcentral lists this ribosomal RNA (253 nucleotides) under uncultured bacterium. Its description in RNAcentral is "partial 16S ribosomal RNA". It matches the Rfam family "Bacterial small subunit ribosomal RNA", at positions 524 to 776 of the family's 1533-position model. The record is from RNAcentral.